UGGCUCAGGACGAACGCUGGCGGCGUGCCUAAUACAUGCAAGUUGAGCGCUGAAGGUUGGUACUUGUACCGACUGGAUGAGCAGCGAACGGGUGAGUAACGCGUGGGGAAUCUGCCUUUGAGCGGGGGACAACAUUUGGAAACGAAUGCUAAUACCGCAUAACAACUUUAAACACAAGUUUUAAGUUUGAAAGAUGCAAUUGCAUCACUCAAAGAUGAUCCCGCGUUGUAUUAGCUAGUUGGUGAGGUAAAGGCUCACCAAGGCGAUGAUACAUAGCCGACCUGAGAGGGUGAUCGGCCACAUUGGGACUGAGACACGGCCCAAACUCCUACGGGAGGCAGCAGUAGGGAAUCUUCGGCAAUGGACGAAAGUCUGACCGAGCAACGCCGCGUGAGUGAAGAAGGUUUUCGGAUCGUAAAACUCUGUUGGUAGAGAAGAACGUUGGUGAGAGUGGAAAGCUCAUCAAGUGACGGUAACUACCCAGAAAGGGACGGCUAACUACGUGCCAGCAGCCGCGGUAAUACGUAGGUCCCGAGCGUUGUCCGGAUUUAUUGGGCGUAAAGCGAGCGCAGGUGGUUUAUUAAGUCUGGUGUAAAAGGCAGUGGCUCAACCAUUGUAUGCAUUGGAAACUGGUAGACUUGAGUGCAGGAGAGGAGAGUGGAAUUCCAUGUGUAGCGGUGAAAUGCGUAGAUAUAUGGAGGAACACCGGUGGCGAAAGCGGCUCUCUGGCCUGUAACUGACACUGAGGCUCGAAAGCGUGGGGAGCAAACAGGAUUAGAUACCCUGGUAGUCCACGCCGUAAACGAUGAGUGCUAGAUGUAGGGAGCUAUAAGUUCUCUGUAUCGCAGCUAACGCAAUAAGCACUCCGCAUGGAGAACCCACG
RNAcentral lists this ribosomal RNA (883 nucleotides) under Lactococcus lactis. RNAcentral's name for it is "bacterial SSU rRNA". It matches the Rfam family "Bacterial small subunit ribosomal RNA", at positions 20 to 886 of the family's 1533-position model. The record is from RNAcentral. Lineage: Bacteria; Bacillati; Bacillota; Bacilli; Lactobacillales; Streptococcaceae.